RNAcentral lists this ribosomal RNA (253 nucleotides) under uncultured bacterium. RNAcentral's name for it is "partial 16S ribosomal RNA". It matches the Rfam family "Bacterial small subunit ribosomal RNA", at positions 524 to 776 of the family's 1533-position model. The record is from RNAcentral.
UACGUAGGGUGCAAGCGUUGUCCGGAAUUAUUGGGCGUAAAGAGCUCGUAGGCGGUCUGUCACGUCGGCUGUGAAAACCCGAGGCUCAACCUCGGGCCUGCAGUCGAUACGGGCAAACUAGAGUGUUGCAGGGGAGACUGGAAUUCCUGGUGUAGCGGUGAAAUGCGCAGAUAUCAGGAGGAACACCGGUGGCGAAGGCGGGUCUCUGGGCCGAAACUGACGCUGAGGAGCGAAAGCUAGGGGAGCGAACAGG